CCUACGGGAGGCAGCAGUGGGGAAUAUUGGACAAUGGGGGCAACCCUGAUCCAGCCAUGCCGCGUGUGUGAAGAAGGCCCUCGGGUUGUAAAGCACUUUCAGUGAGGAAGAACGCCUGGUGGUUAAUACCCAUCAGGAAAGACAUCACUCACAGAAGAAGCACCGGCUAACUCCGUGCCAGCAGCCGCGGUAAUACGGAGGGUGCGAGCGUUAAUCGGAAUUACUGGGCGUAAAGCGCGCGUAGGUGGCUUGAUAAGCCGGUUGUGAAAGCCCCGGGCUCAACCUGGGAACGGCAUCCGGAACUGUCAAGUUAGAGUGCAGGAGAGGAAGGUAGAAUUCCCGGUGUAGCGGUGAAAUGCGUAGAGAUCGGGAGGAAUACCAGUGGCGAAGGCGGCCUUCUGGACUGACACUGACACUGAGGUGCGAAAGCGUGGGUAGCAAACAGGAUUAGAUACCCGUGUAGUC
This 465-nucleotide ribosomal RNA is filed under the name Vreelandella stevensii. RNAcentral's name for it is "partial 16S ribosomal RNA". It matches the Rfam family "Bacterial small subunit ribosomal RNA", at positions 338 to 795 of the family's 1533-position model. Lineage: Bacteria; Pseudomonadati; Pseudomonadota; Gammaproteobacteria; Oceanospirillales; Halomonadaceae. The record is from RNAcentral.